RNAcentral lists this ribosomal RNA (287 nucleotides) under uncultured bacterium. Its description in RNAcentral is "partial 16S ribosomal RNA". It matches the Rfam family "Bacterial small subunit ribosomal RNA", at positions 28 to 319 of the family's 1533-position model. The record is from RNAcentral.
GAUAAACGCUGGCGGCGUGCCUAAAACAUGCAAGUCGAACGGCUUAUGCCUUCGGGUAUAGGUAGUGGCGGACGGCUGAGUAACACGUGGGUGACCUGCCCUCGAGCGGGGGAGUAACUGCCGAACGGGUAGGCUAAUACCGCAGACAUCAUGGAUUCGGUUCCAUGAUUGAACCUCUGGGGUUCGGAGGAGGGGCCGUGCGCCCGAUUAGCUAGCUGGUGGGGUAACGGCCUACCAGGGCGAUCGAUCGGUAGCUGGUCUGAGAGGAUGAUCAGCCAGACUGGGAC